Molecule: ribosomal RNA, 500 nt
Filed under: uncultured bacterium
Lineage: Bacteria
Description: partial 16S ribosomal RNA
Rfam family: Bacterial small subunit ribosomal RNA
Source: RNAcentral
GACGAACGCUGGCGGCGUGCUUAACACAUGCAAGUCGAACGGGCCUGUCUUCUUUUUUGGGGGGUGGGUUGAGUGGCGAACGGGUGAGUAUCACGUGAGUAACCUGCCCUUCGGUCCUGGAUAACCGCUUGAAAGGGCGGCUAAUACGGGGUGGUCCGGUUGGUCCGCAUGGGCUGGUCGGGAUAGAUUCACUGUUUUUGGUGUUUCGGCGGGGGAUGGGCUCGCGGCCUAUCAGCUUGUUUGUGGGGUGAUGGCCUACCAAGGCGGUGACGGGUAGCCGGCCUGAGAGGGUGGGCGGCCACACUGGGACUGAGAUACGGCCCAGACUCCUGCGGGAGGCAGCAGUGGGGGGUAUUGCACAAUGGGCGGAAGCCUGAUGCAGCGACGUCGCGUGAGGGAUGGAGGCCUUCGGGUUGUGAACCUCUGUUUCCGGUGGUGAAGGCCCUGUCCGUGUGGUGGGGUUGACGGUAGCCGGGGAUGAAGCGCCGGCUAACUACGUG